Molecule: long non-coding RNA, 1223 nt
Filed under: Anas zonorhyncha (Eastern spot-billed duck)
Lineage: Eukaryota; Metazoa; Chordata; Aves; Anseriformes; Anatidae
Description: lncRNA (ENSAZOG00000011184.1)
Source: RNAcentral
UGAGGGGGGUCCCUGGGUCUGGGUCCCGUCACGGUGCUGCUCCCCCUGGGCCUCACGGUGUGUUCAUUCCGCUGCAGGGCUGCCAAGAGGCGACUGGGAGCAGCCAGCGGCCCGGCGGGGAGGAAGGCGCCGGGAGGAGGGCGGCAGCCGGCAGCUAAAGAGCAGGUGUCCCCUCAGAAGGAGACGCAACCCAAAAGGGCAGCAGGGCAAGCCCCGCAGCGCAAGUCUGGCUUCAGUGACGGCAAUGCGAAAUGGCUGACCCCAGCCAAAGCCAAAAAGAACUCAUCUAAAGGAAACAAUGUGGAGUUAUCCAGCGAUGGGGAGGUGGAAGAGGGCAGCUGGGAGAUGGAGGAGGAGGAGGACGAAGAUGAGAGCGGAGAGGAGAUGGUGGAUGAUUAUGGCGCCUCAUCGUCUGAGGAGGAAGAGCUGCUGCCUAUUGAAAAAGCCGCCCUGAAGCAGAAGUCUGACAGGGGAGGCCUCAGUGAAGAUGACAGUGAAGAGGAGGAGGAGGAGGAAGAGGANGAGGAGGAAGAGGAAGAAGAGGAGGAGGAUGAGGAGACAAGUACACAUAAGACGGGACAGAAGGAAGAAGAGAGCAAAGAUCUGCAGCUCAACCUGGAUGUAGAUGAAGAGUUCAAAUUGCCAACUAACGAGCAGAUUGAAAAAGAGAAUAUCCUUUAUAUCUGUGACAUCCAUGAGCCAUAUGCACACAGCAGUACAGAGCCUGGGCACAGCUGAAGAGCUUUCAGCUUUAUCACAUGUAUUGUUUAGCAAGAUGCCUGAUGAGGCGUUUUUAGAUGAGCUGCCUUAGCAGUUACUGUAUAAUGCUGCACUAUAGUAUAGCUAGGAAAUAUGUUAUGCCCUGUAAAGGGCUGAGAGCCUGCCCCCAUCUUUCUUCUUUUUAGUCCUAAAUACAUAUGGAUCCGUCACAUAGUGUAUUCCUCUCUACCCUGAUUUCCCAGCAGGUGUUUGUCUAACCCAGUCAUAGAACCUCUGGCAGUAGUGACUCCAGCAUACAAAGUGCUUGCUCUUGGGCUUCAGUGAUUUUCAUUUCCUGCCUCUCCCUGUGCAAUUUAAUCUUGCUGCUUCUCUUUCUCUGUUGUUCCCCAUAGUUGUCUUUGGGGAACAUGUGAUCUCCUUUCUGAUGCAGAUAAAGUUUUCAGCGUUGGAAGACAUUUUCCCCAUUUUUUUCCCCUGUUUAUUUAAACUAAACCAUAUUCUUU